UUACGGUCAAAUCACGCUGAAAACACCGGUUCUCGUUCGAUCACCGAAGUUAAGCAUCGUAGAGCCAGGUCAGUACUUAGAUGGGGGACCGCUUGGGAACACCUGGUAAUGUAAG
Acanthosepion pharaonis is the source of this 115-nucleotide non-coding RNA. The record is from the annotation of a GenBank genome assembly. Lineage: Eukaryota; Metazoa; Mollusca; Cephalopoda; Sepiida; Sepiidae.